GUAGGGAAUAUUGGACAAUGGGGGCAACCCUGAUCCAGCGACGCCGCGUGAGUGAUGAAGGCCUUCGGGUCGUAAAGCUCUGUUGCAGGGGAAGAACACAAUGACGGUACACUGCUAGAAAGGAUCGGCUAACUUCGUGCCAGCAGCCGCGGUAAGACGAGGGAUCCUAGCGAUGUUCGGAAUUAUUGGGCGUAAAGCGGGUGCAGGUGGCUUGGUAAGUCAGAUGUGAAAGCCUGGGGCUUAACCCCAGAAGUGCAUUUGAUACUGCGGAGCUUGAGUGCUGGAGAGGCUAUUAGAAUGCCUGGUGUAGUGGUGAAAUACGUAGACAUCAGGAGGAAUACCGGAGGCGAAGGGGGAUAGCUGGCCAGACACUGACACUCAGACCCGAAAGCGUGGGGAUCAAACAGGAUUAGAAACCCGUGUAGUCC
RNAcentral lists this ribosomal RNA (428 nucleotides) under uncultured bacterium. RNAcentral's name for it is "partial 16S ribosomal RNA". It matches the Rfam family "Bacterial small subunit ribosomal RNA", at positions 354 to 796 of the family's 1533-position model. The record is from RNAcentral.